Molecule: ribosomal RNA, 756 nt
Filed under: uncultured bacterium
Lineage: Bacteria
Description: bacterial SSU rRNA
Rfam family: Bacterial small subunit ribosomal RNA
Source: RNAcentral
AGAGUUUGAUCAUGGCUCAGGAUAACGCUGGCGGCGUGCCUAAAACAUGCAAGUCGAACGGGCACCUUCGGGUGUCAGUGGCGGACGGCUGAGUAACACGUGGGUGACCUGCCCUCGAGCGGGGGAUAACUGCCCGAAAGGGUGGCUAAUACCGCAAAUGUCGGUGCUUCGGUGUGCUGACUGAACCGUUCAGGGUUCGAGGAGGGGCCCGCGGCCGAUUAGCUUGCUGGUGGGGUAAUGGCCUACCAGGGCUGCGAUCGGUAGCUGGUCUGAGAGGAUGAUCAGCCAGACUGGGACUGCGAGACGGCCCAGACUCCUACGGGAGGCAGCAGUUAGGAAUUUUGGGCAAUGGGGGCAACCCUGACCCAGCAACGCCGCGUGGGUGAUGAAGGCCUUCGGGUCGUAAAGCCCUUUUCCCAGGGACGAUGGUGACGGUACCUGGGGAAUCAGCCCCGGCUAACUACGUGCCAGCAGCCGCGGUAAUACGUAGGGGGCAAGCGUUGUCCGGAUUUAUUGGGCGUAAAGCGCUCGCAGGCGGCUUGCUACGUCGUGCGUGAAACACCCCGGCUCAACUGGGGAGGGUCGUGCGAUACGGGCAGGCUUGAGGCCAGUAGGGGGAUGCGGAAUUCCGGGUGUAGUGGUGGAAUGCGUAGAGAUCCGGAGGAACACCAGCGGCGAAGGCGGCAUCCUGGACUGGUACUGACGCUCAUGAGCGAAAGCGUGGGGAGCGAUCCGGAUUAGAUACCCUAGUAGUCC